GGAGUCUUCGGACUGCGGAAGAGUGGCGAACGGGUGAGGAACACGUAAGAAUCUGCCCCUCGGUCGGGGACAACUCUUGGAAACGAGAGCUAAUACCCGAUACGCUGUGGAGUGAAAGAAUUUCGCCGAGGGAUGAUCUUGCGUCUGAUUAGCUAGUUGGUGUGGUAACUGCACACCAAGGCGACGAUCAGUAGCUGGUCUGAGAGGAUGGACAGCCACAUUGGAACUGAGACACGGUCCAAACUCCUACGGGAGGCAGCAGUGGGGAAUUUUCCGCAAUGGACGAAAGUCUGACGGAGCGACGCUGCGUGAAGGAUGACGGCCCGCGGGUUGUAAACUUCUUUUCUCGAAGAAGAAACAAAUGACGGUAUUCGAGGAAUAAGCAUCGGCUAACUCCGUGCCAGCAGCCGCGGUAAGACGGAGGAUGCAAGUGUUAUUCGGAAUGAUUGGGCGUAAAGAU
RNAcentral lists this ribosomal RNA (460 nucleotides) under uncultured Micromonas. RNAcentral describes it as "bacterial SSU rRNA". It matches the Rfam family "Bacterial small subunit ribosomal RNA", at positions 73 to 567 of the family's 1533-position model. Lineage: Eukaryota; Viridiplantae; Chlorophyta; Mamiellophyceae; Mamiellales. The record is from RNAcentral.